This 292-nucleotide ribosomal RNA is filed under the name uncultured bacterium. RNAcentral's name for it is "partial 16S ribosomal RNA". It matches the Rfam family "Bacterial small subunit ribosomal RNA", at positions 505 to 796 of the family's 1533-position model. The record is from RNAcentral.
GUGCCAGCAGCCGCGGUAAGACGAACCGUGCGAACGUUGUUCGGAUUCACUGGGCUUAAAGGGCGCGUAGGCGGUGCGACAAGUCGGGGGUGAAAUCUUUCGGCCCAACCGGAAAAGGGCCCCCGAUACUGGCGCGCUGGAGGGAGGUAGGGGCAUGUGGAACUCCAGGUGGAGCGGUGAAAUGCGUAGAUAUCUGGAGGAACGCCGGUGGCGAAAGCGACGUGCUGGACCUUCUCUGACGCUGAGGCGCGAAAGCUAGGGGAGCAAACGGGAUUAGAUACCCCCGUAGUCC